This 407-nucleotide ribosomal RNA is filed under the name Acinetobacter sp. RNAcentral describes it as "bacterial SSU rRNA". It matches the Rfam family "Bacterial small subunit ribosomal RNA", at positions 331 to 730 of the family's 1533-position model. Lineage: Bacteria; Pseudomonadati; Pseudomonadota; Gammaproteobacteria; Moraxellales; Moraxellaceae. The record is from RNAcentral.
CCAGACUCCUACGGGAGGCUGCAGUGGGGAAUAUUGGACAAUGGGCGAAAGCCUGAUCCAGCCAUGCGGCGUGUGUAAAGAAGGCCUUUUGGUUGUAAAGCACUUUAAGCGAGGAGGAGGCUACUUGGAUUAAUACUCUAGGAUAGUGGACGUUACUCGCAGAAUAAGCACCGGCUAACUCUGUGCCAGCAGCCGCGGUAAUACAGAGGGUGCGAGCGUUAAUCGGAUUUACUGGGCGUAAAGCGUGCGUAGGCGGCUUUUUAAGUCGGAAGUGGAAUCUCUGAGCUUAAUUAGGAAUUGCAUUCGAUACUGGGAAGCUAGAGUAUGGGAGAGGAUGGUAGAAUUCCAGGUGUAGCGGUGGAAUGCGUAGAGAUCUGGAGGAAUACCGAUGGCGAAGGCAGCCAUCU